RNAcentral lists this ribosomal RNA (468 nucleotides) under uncultured bacterium. RNAcentral's name for it is "partial 16S ribosomal RNA". It matches the Rfam family "Bacterial small subunit ribosomal RNA", at positions 28 to 507 of the family's 1533-position model. The record is from RNAcentral.
GACGAACGCUGGCGGCGUGCUUAACACAUGCAAGUCGAACGGAAAGGCCCUGCUUUUGUGGGGUGCUCGAGUGGCGAACGGGUGAGUAACACGUGAGUAACCUGCCCUUGACUUUGGGAUAACUUCAGGAAACUGGGGCUAAUACCGGAUAGGAGCUCCUGCUGCAUGGUGGGGGUUGGAAAGUUUCGGCGGUUGGGGAUGGACUCGCGGCUUAUCAGCUUGUUUGUGGGGUAGUGGCUUACCAAGGCUUUGACGGGUAGCCGGCCUGAGAGGGUGACCGGCCACAUUGGGACUGAGAUACGGCGCAGAAUCCUACGGGAGGCAGCAGUGGGGAAUAUUGCACAAUGGGCGGAAGCGUGAUGCAGCAACGCCGCGUGCGGGAUGACGGCCUUCGGGUUGUAAACAGCUUUCGCAUGUGACGAAGAGUGAGUGACGGUAAUGGGUAAAGAAGCACCGGCUAACUACGUG